This 497-nucleotide ribosomal RNA is filed under the name uncultured bacterium. RNAcentral describes it as "partial 16S ribosomal RNA". It matches the Rfam family "Bacterial small subunit ribosomal RNA", at positions 28 to 507 of the family's 1533-position model. The record is from RNAcentral.
GAUGAACGCUGGCGGCGUGCCUAAUACAUGCAAGUCGAGCGAACAGACGAUGAGCUUGCUCCUCUGACGUUAGCGGCUGACGGGUGAGUAACACGUGGAUAACCUACCUAUAAGACUGGGAUAACUUCGUGAAACCGGAGCUAAUACCGGCUCAUAUAUUGAACCGCAUGGUUCAAUAGUUAAAGACGGUUUUGCUGUCACUUAUAGAUGGUUCCGCGGCGCAUUAGCUAGUUGGUAAGGUAACGGCUUACCAAGGCAACGAUGCGUAGCCGACCUGAGAGGGUGAUCGGCCACACUGGAACUGAGACACGGUCCAGACUCCUACGGGAGGCAGCAGUAGGGAAUCUUCCGCAAUGGGCGAAAGCUUGACGGAGCAACGCCGCGUGAGUGAUGAAGGUCUUCGGAUCGUAAAACUCUGUUAUUAGGGAAGAACAAAUGUGUAAGUAACUAUGCACGUCUUGACGGUACCUAAUCAGAAAGCCACGGCUAACUACGUG